Molecule: ribosomal RNA, 497 nt
Filed under: uncultured bacterium
Lineage: Bacteria
Description: partial 16S ribosomal RNA
Rfam family: Bacterial small subunit ribosomal RNA
Source: RNAcentral
GAUGAACGCUGGCGGCGUGCCUAAUACAUGCAAGUCGAGCGAACAGACGAGGAGCUUGCUCCUCUGACGUUAGCGGCGGACGGGUGAGUAACACGUGGAUAACCUACCUAUAAGACUGGGAUAACUUCGGGAAACCGGAGCUAAUACCGGAUAAUAUAUUGAACCGCAUGGUUCAAUAGUGAAAGACGGUUUUGCUGUCACUUAUAGAUGGAUCCGCGCCGCAUUAGCUAGUUGGUAAGGUAACGGCUUACCAAGGCAACGAUGCGUAGCCGACCUGAGAGGGUGAUCGGCCACACUGGAACUGAGACACGGUCCAGACUCCUACGGGAGGCAGCAGUAGGGAAUCUUCCGCAAUGGGCGAAAGCCUGACGGAGCAACGCCGCGUGAGUGAUGAAGGUCUUCGGAUCGUAAAACUCUGUUAUUAGGGAAGAACAAAUGUGUAAGUAACUAUGCACGUCUUGACGGUACCUAAUCAGAAAGCCACGGUUAACUACGUG